GGGCUCGUAGCUCAGUUGGUUAGAGCGUCUCGUUUACACCGAGAAGGUCUUCAGUUCGAGUCUGAACGAGCCCA
This 74-nucleotide transfer RNA is filed under the name bacterium. RNAcentral's name for it is "tRNA-Val". It matches the Rfam family "tRNA". Rfam says of the family: Transfer RNA (tRNA) molecules are approximately 80 nucleotides in length. Their secondary structure includes four short double-helical elements and three loops (D, anti-codon, and T loops). Further hydrogen bonds mediate the characteristic L-shaped molecular structure. tRNAs have two regions of fundamental functional importance: the anti-codon, which is responsible for specific mRNA codon recognition, and the 3' end, to which the tRNAs corresponding amino acid is attached (by aminoacyl-tRNA synthetases). tRNAs cope with the degeneracy of the genetic code in two manners: having more than one tRNA (with a specific anti-codon) for a particular amino acid; and 'wobble' base-pairing, i.e. permitting non-standard base-pairing at the 3rd anti-codon position. The record is from RNAcentral.